AACGCACAUUGCGCCCCUUGGUAUUCCAUGGGGCAUGCCUGUUCGAGCGUCAUUUGUACCCUCAAGCUAUGCUUGGUGUUGGGUGAUUGUCCCGUCUUUUCUAGUCAGGACUCGCCUUAAAGUAAUUGGCAGCCAGUAUUUUGGGGUAAAGCGCAGCACAUUUUGCGAUUUAGUCCAGUAAUAUUAGCAACCAUCAAGUUUUAUAUAUCACUUUUGACCUCGGAUCAGGUAGGGAUACCCGCUGAACUUAA
This 251-nucleotide unclassified non-coding RNA is filed under the name uncultured fungus. Its description in RNAcentral is "partial contains 5.8S ribosomal RNA, internal transcribed spacer 2, and large subunit ribosomal RNA". Lineage: Eukaryota; Fungi. The record is from RNAcentral. RNAcentral also lists the same sequence under 1 other name.